Theobroma cacao (cacao) is the source of this 1100-nucleotide long non-coding RNA. RefSeq lists it as uncharacterized. Lineage: Eukaryota; Viridiplantae; Streptophyta; Magnoliopsida; Malvales; Malvaceae. The record is from RefSeq and is a predicted model, not a curated record.
UUGAAAUGACAGAGAACUAUGCCCUACAAAAAAGAAAAGCAAAAGACAGAAAACAAUGGAUGAAUAUGAUAAAACCAAACAUGUCCUAGAGCUCUUUAAGCUUUGAUUUUGACAUAUGUCAUAUUGCAUAUUCUCUUUCUGCUCAAGAUCUGCUCUAAGAUUUCCAAGGAAUCAUUUGGUUUCAACAGACAAUAGUGCUCCAAUUUUAUUGAAUGACCCUCUGAAAAUUUUUAGCUUAAGUUUUCUGGGUUUCAAGACUGGAUUUCAUCGAAGGCUAAUGGAGAUGACAGAAACAAAUGGGGGGAGGCAAUGAGAAAAGAUUGAUGAUUCUCAUGGCCUCUUUUAAAUUUGGGGAAUCUUUCCUUGAUUUCUAGUACCUGUAAUUUUAAUUAUGUUUUUAUUUUAUUUUCUCUGUAACCAAACAAUAUUUCACCAGAAGGAAAGCACAUAGCAUGGAAUAAAAGCAGCUACUUUGUUUCUCUUUCUUCCUUGCAUGCAUCAAGAGGGAUGCAGUAAAGAUCUUAAGGACCUUGGUCCCCAUAGGAGAACAUAGUUGACUUACAAGAUUAAAAGUUGGGUUUCCACUUAAUGUGUGUUGAAGCAGAAGCAAGAGGAUUGGCAUGUUUGCAUAAUAUCUUUGGGGGAGGGUUUGAUUAGAAUCAGCAGGCUACAUUGGUUAAGAGAUUUGGACACUGACUGCUAGGCUGCAGGGUCGGCAAAUAUGUUGAGACAACAAGAUGAAGUGUCUAUUCACAACAUUGGAAAAUCAACCAUUACCCCCCUCCCACCCUGGAAUUCAUGACUUUUCACCAUCAAUUUCCCUCAAGGGGACCUUCCAGCACCCUUCUUCAUGUUAAUAUGAACACUAAACAAUGUUGAAAAACCCCAAUUGGACCAAGAUCUUGACAAUACAUUCCAAACAGGAAUUUGGAAACAUGAAGGGCUUGCUUUUCGAAUGACAUUUGUCCACACAUUUCUGAACGUUUCUUUAAGAUUUUGAUUCCAAUAGGGCAGAAAAGAGCCUUCUCUUUAUGGCCUGAUAUCCACUUAGCUACUAGGAUUUUGGAGGAAAUGAGAGCAAAAAAGAAAAGAAAAGAAAA